This 860-nucleotide ribosomal RNA is filed under the name uncultured archaeon. RNAcentral describes it as "bacterial SSU rRNA". It matches the Rfam family "Archaeal small subunit ribosomal RNA", at positions 26 to 893 of the family's 1478-position model. The record is from RNAcentral.
ACUGCUAUCGGAUUGAUACUAAGCCAUGCGAGUCUUUGUAGCAAUACAAGGCAGACGGCUCAGUAACACGUAGUCAAUCUACCCUAUGGACGGGGAUAACCUCGGGAAACUGAGAAUAAUACCCGAUAGAUCAUUAUGCCUGGAAUGGUCUAUGGUCGAAAUGAUUUAUCGCCGUAGGAUGGGACUGCGGUCUAUCAGCUUGUUGGUGAGGUAAUGGCCCACCAAGGCUAUAACAGAUACGGGCUCUGAGAGGAGAAGCCCGGAGAUGGGUACUGAGACACGGACCAGGCCCUAUGGGGCGCAGCAGGCGAGAAAACUUUGCAAUGUGCGAAAGCACGACAAGGUUAAUCCGAGUGUUUUCUGCUAAAGAAAUCUUUUGUCAGUCCUAAAGACACUGAUGAAUAAGGGGUGGGCAAGUUCUGGUGUCAGCCGCCGCGGUAAAACCAGCACCUCAAGUGGUCAGGAGGAUUAUUGGGCCUAAAGCAUCCGUAGCCGGCCGUGUAAGUUUUCGGUUAAAUCUAUACGCUCGACGUAUAGGCUGCCGGGAAUACUGCACAGCUAGGGAGUGGGAGAGGUAGACGGUACUCGGUAGGAAGGGGUAAAAUCCUUUGAUCUAUUGAUGACCACCUGUGGCGAAGGCGGUCUACUAGAACACGUCCGACGGUGAGGGAUGAAAGCUGGGGGAGCAAACCGGAUUAGAUACCCGGGUAGUCCCAGCUGUAAACAAUGCAAACUCAGUGAUGCACUGGCUUGUGGCCAGUGCAGUGCCGCAGGGAAGCCGUUAAGUUUGCCGCCUGGGAGGUACGUACGCAAGUAUGAAACUUAAAGGAAUUGGCGGGGGAGCACCACAAGGGGUGAAG